CGCGCGUAUACAUGCGCAUGUGGGUAAAAAAAUAAAAAUAAACAGGCAGUGCAAAGUUUCUAUUUUGAAAGCUUUUAAUCGGCGACGUGACACCAGAAUGACAACCGGAACGACAGCGUUACCAAACAAGCCGGCUGAGACUGGAACAACAACGUUAGCUAAUAGCAUCAUUAGCCUUCUCCCUGCGUGGCUUGGACAUGGUCUGUUCUGUGUUUGCACUAUACGUUGACUAGCAGAUUGCCCGAACAGGCUGACAGUUACUAGCUAGCUCAGCAGUGCCGGGUGAAAACUGCCAUCUUCCUGUGGAUUUACAGCUGCCGCUUCUGCUACUUCAAUUAGUUCUAUAGCACACAGAUGUUGCUUAAAUGUAGCUGCUAAUGAUGCCGCAAUAAGCCUAAGAUUCAUGCCAUAUUCACAGGCACGUAAAUUUCUCAAGUGGCACAAUUAAAGUGGGAAUAUUGGGAGGGUGUGUGAAGGAAGCUUGGCAGUUGGAGGGAACUUGGAAAGCUGUCCACCUGUUCCUCUAUUGGUCGGGAUCAAAUUAAACUGGAACACCAUUUUGGACUGUUAGCCAAUCUGGGGGUUUUGUGCGAAUUUCAGCCUUCUGAAGAACUGCGGGGCUUGUCGAAGUGGUAACUCCGUGGCAACCGCAUGGAGCUACAGCCAAAACAAGUCAGUUUAAUGCACUCCUUUGUCAAAAGGCUUUCUGAAAGGCAGAGAUUGAUUCACAGUGAAGGUUUGGGUGGCAUUCCCUGUGUUCUUCAAGUCUUUCAGCGUGAAUUCCCUCCGCAUCCGUAAUGACCGCCUAUUACCUGUUUAGUGAACUACUUAUUGACCGGGACCCAUACAGAUCAGCUUCAUUAUGAAGCAGGACAAUUAUCCCAAACACACUGGAAUAGCUACCAAGUUUUAAAUAUCUGGACUGGCAAGGUCAAUCACCCAAACUCAAUUCAAUGUGGAGAUGCUCAAGGCAAGACGGAAGGCAAAAGGGCCCAGGAACAAGCCAGAACUGAAGCCACACGCCUGGCAGAAAACAACUGUGAAAGCUCCUCAGCAUCUACUUAUGUCAGUGGUCCUCAGACUUCUGGCCAUCGUGGCAUGCAAAGGAUAUGCAACCACACAGCUCCGGAAAACAUGAAGAGACCCCUACAG
Long non-coding RNA from Esox lucius (northern pike), 1152 nucleotides. Lineage: Eukaryota; Metazoa; Chordata; Actinopteri; Esociformes; Esocidae. The record is from Ensembl.